RNAcentral lists this long non-coding RNA (661 nucleotides) under Monodelphis domestica (gray short-tailed opossum). RNAcentral's name for it is "lncRNA (ENSMODG00000037496.1)". The record is from RNAcentral. Lineage: Eukaryota; Metazoa; Chordata; Mammalia; Didelphimorphia; Didelphidae.
CAUUUUCCUAAAUUUUUCAGAUGAUGUAACUGAAGCUCAGAUGGAUGACUUCCUUAAAAUCACACAGGUAGUAAGUAUAAGAAGAGAAUGGCUUCUAGGUAAUAUUUUCUGACUCCAAUUGUUAGAAUUUUUCCAUAACAAUCAAUCCUUUUCCUGCUGUGGUAUAGUAAAAACAUCUUUGGCCUUGGAGUCAUGAUCCCUGAUAACAAAUCUCAUUUCUAUGAUUUCAUUCAUAUAUAGGACUUGAACUGAGGAAAUUCCCUACACCAAUAUAGAUUUCUUUUCAAAUGCAUAAGAAUGAUCAACAUAACUGAGUGGACAGGAGAGUAAAUGACAAUUUUCUGUUUUCUGGUACCAUAAUAAAGGCAAGAUAUGAUGGAACCAAACCAAAAUACCAAGACUGGCUUGCUGGAAAUUCUUCAGUGUUGAUGGAACUGUUCUCCAAAGUAGGAAACCACAAGUGCCAAGAAAAAGGAUGGAAGACAUAAAUGUUUUUAGUAUGUGUCAGACUUUUCUCCAAGUCCAUUUCUCCAAGUCCAUUUUCUCCAACUUAGCCAAAAUCACAGGAAGUUAUUCCAAACUCUUCUGGUUAAUGAGCCAAUUAUUCUCAUGAAGAACAUCAGUCAUGAAAGCAGAUAUUUCUCCCCUUUUACUAUUGCAC